UACGGAGGGUGCGAGAGUUAAUCGGAAUUACUGGGCGUAAAGCGCGAGUAGGCGGCUUGAUAAGCCGGUUGUGAAAGCCCAGGGCUCAACCUGGGUACGGCAUCCGGAACUGUCAGGCUAGAGUGCAGGAGAGGAAGGUAGAAUUCCCGGUGUAGCGGUGAAAUGCGUAGAGAUCGGGAGGAAUACCAGUGGCGAAGGCGGCCUUCUUGACUGACACUGACGCUGAGGUGCGAAAGCGUGGGUAGCAAACAGG
Molecule: unclassified non-coding RNA, 253 nt
Filed under: uncultured Halomonadaceae bacterium
Lineage: Bacteria; Pseudomonadati; Pseudomonadota; Gammaproteobacteria; Oceanospirillales; Halomonadaceae
Description: contains 16S-23S intergenic spacer region
Rfam family: Bacterial small subunit ribosomal RNA
Source: RNAcentral